GGGGGCGAAUUGGAAUCGACCGGAUAGUCUGAAGUGUAAGUGGCGUGUCGUGGUUGGUCAGUGGGCCACGUAAAAAGCUGACUACAUAAUAAUUGCAGAUGAAAAUCUAGCAUUAGCUGCCUAAUUAAGCGGUAGCUCUGGUUUUUGGGGUUUUGUCGGAGAGCUCUACUAACCGGUAACCAAUUCCGAAUCGCUGCGAGUCAUGUGAAGCACGCUCAAGGCUAAAUUAAGUUCUUCAAUAGUUUCUUCGGUAUCCCGUCAGCAGGAGCCUGAAGCGGUGAAAUACAAAUAGUUGACUACACACGUAGAAGCUUUCAUGGAAAUGUCGCGGCACGCGGGUUCGAACCCCGCCGCCUCCACUU
Molecule: transfer-messenger RNA, 362 nt
Filed under: Blastopirellula sp.
Lineage: Bacteria; Pseudomonadati; Planctomycetota; Planctomycetia; Pirellulales; Pirellulaceae
Also listed under: 1 other name
Rfam family: transfer-messenger RNA
About the family: Bacterial tmRNA, also known as 10Sa RNA or SsrA, is named for its dual tRNA and mRNA-like properties.
Source: RNAcentral